Molecule: ribosomal RNA, 1343 nt
Filed under: uncultured bacterium
Lineage: Bacteria
Description: 16S ribosomal RNA
Rfam family: Bacterial small subunit ribosomal RNA
Source: RNAcentral
GACGAACGCUGGCGGCGUGCUUAACACAUGCAAGUCGAACGGAAAGGCCCUGCUUUUGUGGGGUGCUCGAGUGGCGAACGGGUGAGUAACACGUGAGUAACCUGCCCUUGACUUUGGGAUAACUUCAGGAAACUGGGGCUAAUACCGGAUAGGAGCUCCUGCUGCAUGGUGGGGGUUGGAAAGCUUCGGCGGUUGGGGAUGGACUCGCGGCUUAUCAGCUUGUUGGUGGGGUAGUGGCUUACCAAGGCUUUGACGGGUAGCCGGCCUGAGAGGGUGACCGGCCACAUUGGGACUGAGAUACGGCCCAGACUCCUACGGGAGGCAGCAGUGGGGAAUAUUGCACAAUGGGCGGAAGCCUGAUGCAGCAACGCCGCGUGCGGGAUGACGGCCUUCGGGUUGUAAACCGCUUUCGCCUGUGACGAAGCGUGAGUGACGGUAAUGGGUAAAGAAGCACCGGCUAACUACGUGCCAGCAGCCGCGGUGAUACGUAGGGUGCGAGCGUUGUCCGGAUUUAUUGGGCGUAAAGGGCUCGUAGGUGGUUGAUCGCGUCGGAAGUGUAAUCUUGGGGCUUAACCCUGAGCGUGCUUUCGAUACGGGUUGACUUGAGGAAGGUAGGGGAGAAUGGAAUUCCUGGUGGAGCGGUGGAAUGCGCAGAUAUCAGGAGGAACACCAGUGGCGAAGGCGGUUCUCUGGGCCUUUCCUGACGCUGAGGAGCGAAAGCGUGGGGAGCGAACAGGCUUAGAUACCCCGGUAGUCCACGCUGUAAACGGUGGGUACUAGGUGUGGGGUCCAUUCCACGGGUUCCGUGCCGUAGCUAACGCUUUAAGUACCCCGCCUGGGGAGUACGGCCGCAAGGCUAAAACUCAAAGGAAUUGACGGGGCCCCGCACAAGCGGCGGAGCAUGCGGAUUAAUUCGAUGCAACGCGUAGAACCUUACCUGGGUUUGACAUGGAUCGGGAGCGCUCAGAGAUGGGUGUGCCUCUUUUGGGGUCGGUUCACAGGUGGUGCAUGGCUGUCGUCAGCUCGUGUCGUGAGAUGUUGGGUUAAGUCCCGCAACGAGCGCAACCCUUGUUCACUGUUGCCAGCACGUUAUGGUGGGGACUCAGUGGAGACCGCCGGGGUCAACUCGGAGGAAGGUGGGGAUGGCGUCAAGUCAUCAUGCCCCUUAUGUCCAGGGCUUCACGCAUGCUACAAUGGCUGGUACAGAGAGUGGCGAGCCUGUGAGGGUGAGCGAAUCUCGGAAAGCCGGUCUCAGUUCGGAUUGGGGUCUGCAACUCGACCUCAUGAAGUCGGAGUCGCUAGUAAUCGCAGAUCGGCAACGCUGCGGUGAAUACGUUCCCGGG